AGGGUUCAAUUCUGGCUCAGGAUGAACGCUAGCGACAGGCUUAACACAUGCAAGUCGAGGGGCAGCGCGGAGGUAGCAAUACUCCGGCGGCGACCGGCGCACUGGUGAGUAACACGUAUGCGACCUGCCCCGGACAGGGGGAUAAACCCGGGAAACUGGGCCUAAUACCCCAUAUGCCUUGAGGCUGCAUGGUCUCGAGGUGAAAGAUCCGUCGGUCCGGGAUGGGCAUGCGGCGCAUUAGCUGGUUGGCGGGGCAACGGCCCACCAAGGCGACGAUGCGUAGGGGUUCUGAGAGGAAGGUCCCCCACACUGGUACUGAGACACGGACCAGACUCCUACGGGAGGCAGCAGUGAGGAAUAUUGGUCAAUGGACGGUAGUCUGAACCAGCCAAGUCGCCGUGCGGGAUGAAGGCCCUCCGGGUCGUAAACCGCUUUAGCCGGGGAGUAACGUGCGGAACGUGUUCCGCAGUGAGAGUACCCGGAGAAUAAGCAUCGGCUAACUCCGUGCCAGCAGCUGC
Molecule: ribosomal RNA, 518 nt
Filed under: uncultured bacterium
Lineage: Bacteria
Description: bacterial SSU rRNA
Rfam family: Bacterial small subunit ribosomal RNA
Source: RNAcentral